RNAcentral lists this ribosomal RNA (253 nucleotides) under uncultured bacterium. Its description in RNAcentral is "partial 16S ribosomal RNA". It matches the Rfam family "Bacterial small subunit ribosomal RNA", at positions 524 to 776 of the family's 1533-position model. The record is from RNAcentral.
UACGUAGGGGGCAAGCGUUGUCCGGAAUUAUUGGGCGUAAAGAGCGCGUAGGCGGGAUGGCAAGUCGGUCGUGAAAUCCUUCGGCUCAACCGAAGAACGUCGAUCGAUACUGCUGUUCUUGAGGGUUGCAGAGGAGACUGGAAUUCCCGGUGUAGCGGUGAAAUGCGUAGAGAUCAUGAGGAAGACCAGUGGCGAAGGCGGGUCUCUGGACAGUUCCUGACACUGAGGGACGAAAGCUAGGGGAGCGAAUGGG